AAUAUUGCACAAUGGAGGAAACUCUGAUGCAGCGACGUCGCGUGAGUGAUGAAGGCUUUCGAGUCGUAAAGCUCUGUCCUUGGGGACGAUAAUGACGGUACCCAAGGAGGAAGCCCCGGCUAACUACGUGCCAGCAGCCGCGGUAAUACGUAGGGGGCGAGCGUUGACCGGAAUUAUUGGGCGUAAAGGGUUCGCAGGCGGCCAGAUAAGUCAGAUGUGAAAUCUCACGGCUUAACCGUGAUAGGCAUUUGAAACUGUAUGGCUUGAGUUAAGGAGAGGAAAGUGGAAUUCCUAGUGUAGCGGUGAAAUGCGUAGAUAUUAGGAGGAAUACCAGUGGCGAAGGCGACUUUCUGGACUUAUACUGACGCUGAGGAACGAAAGCGUGGGGAGCAAACA
This 396-nucleotide ribosomal RNA is filed under the name uncultured bacterium. Its description in RNAcentral is "partial 16S ribosomal RNA". It matches the Rfam family "Bacterial small subunit ribosomal RNA", at positions 360 to 774 of the family's 1533-position model. The record is from RNAcentral.